This 874-nucleotide ribosomal RNA is filed under the name Staphylococcus aureus. RNAcentral describes it as "bacterial SSU rRNA". It matches the Rfam family "Bacterial small subunit ribosomal RNA", at positions 62 to 873 of the family's 1533-position model. Lineage: Bacteria; Bacillati; Bacillota; Bacilli; Caryophanales; Staphylococcaceae. The record is from RNAcentral.
UCGAGCGAACGGACGAAAGCUUGCUUCUCUGAUGUUAGCGGCGGACGGGUGAGUAACACGUGGAUAACCUACCUAUAAGACUGGGAUAACUUCGGGAAACCGGAGCUAAUACCGGAUAAUAUUUUGAACCGCAUGGUUCAAAAGUGAAAGACGGUCUUGCUGUCACUUAUAGAUGGAUCCGCGCUGCAUUAGCUAGUUGGUAAGGUAACGGCUUACCAAGGCAACGAUGCAUAGCCGACCUGAGAGGGUGAUCGGCCACACUGGAACUGAGACACGGUCCAGACUCCUACGGGAGGCAGCAGUAGGGAAUCUUCCGCAAUGGGCGAAAGCCUGACGGAGCAACGCCGCGUGAGUGAUGAAGGUCUUCGGAUCGUAAAACUCUGUUAUUAGGGAAGAACAUAUGUGUAAGUAACUGUGCACAUCUUGACGGUACCUAAUCAGAAAGCCACGGCUAACUACGUGCCAGCAGCCGCGGUAAUACGUAGGUGGCAAGCGUUAUCCGGAAUUAUUGGGCGUAAAGCGCGCGUAGGCGGUUUUUUAAGUCUGAUGUGAAAGCCCACGGCUCAACCGUGGAGGGUCAUUGGAAACUGGAAAACUUGAGUGCAGAAGAGGAGAGUGGAAUUCCAUGUGUAUCGGUGAAAUGCGCAGAGAUAUGGAGGAACACCAGUGGCGAAAGCGAGUUUCUGGUCUGUAACUGACGCUGAUGUGCGAAAUCGUGGGGAUCAAACACGAUUAUAUACCCUGGUGUUCCUCCCCGUCAACGACGAUUGCUGCGUGUUGGGGGGUUUCCCCUCUCUCCUUCUGGCACUACGUUUCAGUAUUCAACUGCCCAGCAGUCGGACCGUUGUUCUUCAACUAAUGAAUAAGAACGCGC